This 127-nucleotide small RNA is filed under the name Marmota monax (woodchuck). Lineage: Eukaryota; Metazoa; Chordata; Mammalia; Rodentia; Sciuridae. The record is from RNAcentral.
GCUGGGUGUGGUGGCACAUGCCUGUAAUCCCAGCAGCUCAGGAGGCUGAGGUAGGAGGAUUGCAAGUUAAAAGCCAGCCUCAGCAACUUAGCAAGGCCCAUAGCAACUUAGUGAGAUCCUGUCUCAC